GUGAGUCAUCGAAUCUUUGAACGCACAUUGCGCCCCCUGGUAUUCCGGGGGGCAUGCCUGUCCGAGCGUCAUUACUGCCCUCAAGCGCGGCUUGUGUGUUGGGCCUCGUCCCCCCCGGGGGACGGGUCCGAAAGGCAGUGGCGGCGCCGUGCCCGAUCCUCGAGCGUAUGGGGCUUUGUCACCCGCUCUGGAGGCCCGGCCGGAUGCCGUCGACCAACCCCCAACUCAGGCGUUCGCGCCUCUACGGUUGACCUCGGAUCAGGUAGGGAUACCCGCUGAACUUAAGCAUAUCAAUAAGCG
RNAcentral lists this unclassified non-coding RNA (300 nucleotides) under uncultured Ascomycota. RNAcentral's name for it is "sequence contains 5.8S rRNA gene, ITS2". The stretch from base 1 to 71 matches the Rfam family "5.8S ribosomal RNA", at positions 84 to 154 of the family's 154-position model. The record is from RNAcentral. Lineage: Eukaryota; Fungi; Ascomycota.